This 198-nucleotide ribosomal RNA is filed under the name uncultured prokaryote. RNAcentral's name for it is "partial 16S ribosomal RNA". It matches the Rfam family "Bacterial small subunit ribosomal RNA", at positions 524 to 721 of the family's 1533-position model. The record is from RNAcentral.
UACGUAGGGUGCAAGCAUUAAUCGGAAUUAUUGGGCGUAAAGGGCGCGUAGGCGGGAAGAUAAGUCGUGUGUGAAAUUCUGGGGCUCAACCUCGGAGCUGCACAGGAAACUAUCUAUCUAGAGGGUAGGCGGAGAAAACGGAAUUCCACAAGUAGCGGUGAAAUGCGUAGAUAUGUGGAAGAACACCUGUGGCGAAGG